Molecule: long non-coding RNA, 1223 nt
Organism: Phasianus colchicus (ring-necked pheasant)
Lineage: Eukaryota; Metazoa; Chordata; Aves; Galliformes; Phasianidae
Source: RefSeq, a predicted model, not a curated record
UAUAAGGGCAGCCAUGGAAGGGAAGGCAUCUCUUGGGCCUUAGCUGCUUUCUGGGGAGGAAUGCUGUAUUUCUAGAGAGCGCUUCUGCCAGUGGGGUAUCCUUCUAAAUAUACACACACUCCACGUUAUUUUCAUGUGCAUUCCCUGAAGGAUGUCUGCAAGCUCUCUCUCAGUCAGUGAUGGAGCAGCAUAAGGGCCAGCAGUGCACUUUGUGGGAGGACGACAACAGGGCACUGCCACUUAUAGGAGUACAAACUUCCCACUGCAGCCAAAACAGCAUGAUGGUCUUGGAGGAGGCUGCCCUGCUUGGCUGAGAAGAUGACUCAUGAAAAUACAACUUUCAGAGCAGCAGCGGGACCUCAGCCUGGCAGUGCCAUGCCCUGAGCAGCAAAGCAAGGCGGGAUCCUCAUGCCAACCGUGUCAUCUGAGGAUGAGUGUGUGUGUGUUGGAGAAAGAAGCAUUGAGAAUUCAAGCUGAAAUGCUGCCUGCUUUGCACUCUGUGAUUCCUGGCCACUUAUAAGGGGAGAAUCAUGGAAUGGAAGACUUCAGAAUGCUCUAAAUCAUAGCUGGGUUGUAUAACGGACAAAGAAGUGAGAACAUGAAGUGCCACUGGCACCAGUCCUUGGUUCAGAUGCAUUUUUAAUGGUCUCUGCUGCUCUGACCCCCACUCCCAGCUCAGAAGGAGUUCAGAGGGCUAGAAAGGUUCAAGAGACAAAGGACGUAGCCUUCGCGUGAGGAACAGCAAAGUGACUGGGGAUUGUCAACUGGGGAAACAGCAAGGGCAGUACAGGAGGGGUCUGUUCAAGUGCAAGAAGCCUGAUGGAGGAUGAGUGGAAGGGGAUGGACCGUUUUCUAUCCCUAUGAAGAAUGAGGAGGAACCAGAUGAUGCUAGGAGGAGCAAGAAAAACCAAAGGAGUUGGUUCUGUAUCGAUCAAACAGUAGAGGAAAUAUCAGGAGUUUAUACUGAAAAUGAGCCAAGAUCACAGAAGAGGUACACCAAACAUACACUGGGUGUGGCAGUCCCAGAGUUUUAAGGCAUGGAAGUCUGGGUGGAUGAGGGAAUAUUUUUGGAUACAGUUUCCUAUCUUUUAUAUUCUAGGCAUUUUCCUUUGCUCUCUUCUUGGUUACAAGACUCUGAGUUGGGUGGACUUCUUCUGACUGAGUAAAACUGUUCCUACAUGCUCUGUGUUUAACGAAAUCACUGGUUCUCAUUGGAAAUCUGA